GGUUAAGUGACUAAGCGUACACGGUGGAUGCCUUGGCAGUCAGAGGCGAUGAAAGACGUAGUAACUUGCGAUAAGCCCAGAUUAGGUAGUAACAACCAUUUGAGUCUGGGAUUUCUGAAUGGGGAAACCCACGUGCAUAAGCACGUAUCCUUACCUGAAUACAUAGGGUAAGGAGGCGAACCGGGGGAACUGAAACAUCUAAGUACCCCGAGGAAAAGAAAUCAACCGAGAUUCCGAAAGUAGCGGCGAGCGAAAUUGGACUAGCCCUUAAGCUUUACACGCGUUAGACGAACGGUCUGGAAAGUCCGACGAUACAGGGUGAUAGUCCCGUAGUUGACGACGUGUGUUCAGUGAAAUCGAGUAGGGCGGGACACGUGAUAUCCUGUCUGAAUAUGGGGGGACCAUCCUCCAAGGCUAAAUACUACUGACUGACCGAUAGUGAACCAGUACCGUGAGGGAAAGGCGAAAAGAACCCCUGUGAGGGGAGUGAAAUAGAACCUGAAACCGUGUACGUACAAGCAGUAGGAGCAGGCUUUGUCCUGUGACUGCGUACCUUUUGUAUAAUGGGUCAGCGACUUAUAUUCAGUGGCAAGGUUAACCAUCUAGGGGAGCCGUAGGGAAACCGAGUCUUAACUGGGCGUUCAGUCUCUGGAUAUAGACCCGAAACCAGGUGAUCUAGCCAUGGGCAGGUUGAAGGUUGAGUAACAUCAACUGGAGGACCGAACCGACUAAUGUUGAAAAAUUAGCGGAUGACUUGUGGCUAGGGGUGAAAGGCCAAUCAAACCUGGAGAUAGCUGGUUCUCCCCGAAAGCUAUUUAGGUAGCGCCUCGGACGAAUACUACUGGGGGUAGAGCACUGUUAAGGCUAGGGGGUCAUCCCGACUUACCAACCCUUUGCAAACUCCGAAUACCAGUAAGUACUAUCCGGGAGACACACGGCGGGUGCUAACGUCCGUCGUGGAGAGGGAAACAACCCAGACCGCCAGCUAAGGUCCCAAAUUACUACUAAGUGGGAAACGAUGUGGGAAGGCUCAGACAGCCAGGAUGUUGGCUUAGAAGCAGCCAUCAUUUAAAGAAAGCGUAAUAGCUCACUGGUCGAGUCGGCCUGCGCGGAAGAUGUAACGGGGCUAAGUAG
This 1134-nucleotide ribosomal RNA is filed under the name Vibrio parahaemolyticus. Its description in RNAcentral is "partial 23S ribosomal RNA". It matches the Rfam family "Bacterial large subunit ribosomal RNA", at positions 1 to 1189 of the family's 2925-position model. The record is from RNAcentral. Lineage: Bacteria; Pseudomonadati; Pseudomonadota; Gammaproteobacteria; Vibrionales; Vibrionaceae.